Molecule: ribosomal RNA, 483 nt
Filed under: uncultured bacterium
Lineage: Bacteria
Description: partial 16S ribosomal RNA
Rfam family: Bacterial small subunit ribosomal RNA
Source: RNAcentral
GACGAACGCUGGCGGCGUGCUUAACACAUGCAAGUCGAACGAUGAAGCCGGAGCUUGCUCCGGUGGAUUAGUGGCGAACGGGUGAGUAACACGUGAGCAAUCUGCCCUUGACUCUGGGAUAACUGCGGGAAACUGUAGCUAAUACCGGAUACGACACCUUGGGGCAUCCUAGGGUGUGGAAAGAAUUUCGGUCAAGGAUGAGCUCGCGGCCUAUCAGCUAGUUGGUGAGGUAAUGGCUCACCAAGGCGACGACGGGUAGCCGGCCUGAGAGGGGGACCGGCCACGCUGGACCUGAGACACGGUGCAGACUCCGACGGGAGGCAGCAGUGGGGAAUAUUGCACAAGGGGCGAAAGCCUGAUGCAGCCACGCCGCGUGAGGGAUGAAGGCCUUCGUGUUGUAAACCUCUUUUAGCAGGGAAGAAGCGAAAGUGACGGUACCUGCAGAAAAAGCACCGGCUAACUACGUGCCAGCCGCCGCGGUAA